GAUGAACGCUGGCGGCGUGCCUAAUACAUGCAAGUCGAGCGAACAGAUAAGGAGCUUGCUCCUUUGACGUUAGCGGCGGACGGGUGAGUAACACGUGGGUAACCUACCUAUAAGACUGGAAUAACUCCGGGAAACCGGGUCUAAUGCCGGAUAACAUUUAGAACCGCAUGGUUCUAAAGUGCAAGAUGGUUUUGCUAUCACUUAUAGAUGGACCCGCGCCGUAUUAGCUAGUUGGUAAGGUAACGGCUUACCAAGGCAACGAUACGUAGCCGACCUGAGAGGGUGAUCAGCCACACUGGAACUGAGACACGGUCCAGACUCCUACGGGAGGCAGCAGUAGGGAAUCUUCCGCAAUGGGCGAAAGCCUGACGGAGCAACGCCGCGUGAGUGAUGAAGGUCUUCGGAUCGUAAAACUCUGUUAUUAGGGAAGAACAAAUGUGUAAGUAACUGUGCACGUCUUGACGGUACCUAAUCAGAAAGCCACGGCUAACUACGUG
RNAcentral lists this ribosomal RNA (497 nucleotides) under uncultured bacterium. Its description in RNAcentral is "partial 16S ribosomal RNA". It matches the Rfam family "Bacterial small subunit ribosomal RNA", at positions 28 to 507 of the family's 1533-position model. The record is from RNAcentral.